This 433-nucleotide ribosomal RNA is filed under the name uncultured bacterium. Its description in RNAcentral is "partial 16S ribosomal RNA". It matches the Rfam family "Bacterial small subunit ribosomal RNA", at positions 29 to 507 of the family's 1533-position model. The record is from RNAcentral.
AACGAACGCUGGCGGCAUGCCUAACACAUGCAAGUCGAACGAAACCUUCGGGUCUAGUGGCGCACGGGUGCGUAACGCGAGGGAACCUGCCCUUAGGUUCGGAAUAACUCCCAGAAAGGGGUGCUAAUACCGGAUAAUGUCUUCGGACCAAAGAUUUAUCGACUUUGGAUGGGCCCGCGUUGGAUUAGGUAGUUGGUAGGGUAAAAGCCCACCAAGGCGACGAUCCAUAGCUGGUCUGAGAGGAUGAUCAGCCACACUGGGACUGAGACACGGCCCAGACUCCUACGGGAGGCAGCAGUGGGGAAUAUUGGACAAUGGGCGAAAGCCUGAUCCAGCAAUGACGCGUGAGUGAUGAAGGCAUUAGGGUUGUAAAGCUCUUUUACCCGGGAUGAUAAUGACAGUACCGGGAGAAUAAGCUCCGGCUAACUCCGUG